UUUCGUGAUGGCUACUACAAUGAUUUGUCUUGAAUUUAACUGCCUUUCGUGUGCCUGGGAAAUGCAGAUUUGCCUGAGGUUGUACAAGAAAGUAACUCUGAGAAUGUGAAUGCAACUCCGCCCCAGACUAUUCAAGCAAGCCACUCUCAGAACAUAACUGAAAAUGAAUGUCUAAGGCAAGUUUUACUCCUUCGAGAGAACUUCCAUAAUCUCCAUUGUUUCUUUUUACAUGACUGUUUGAGGUCUUCUCAUUCUUGGAACUUAUGUUUCAGGUCUUCUGCCCAGGAUGUAAUCGGUGCACCCAGUCAAGCCCAGAAUGCUAGGUCAAAUAUUGAUAUUUCAUUGACACCCCAGCAGAACUUUUGCUUGUCGGAUAUGAUGGCUAGCUACAGUAGGAGUCAUUAUGAGUAUGCUGGUGGUACACGCUCAAUCUGUGGCAACAACCAGUGGUCAUGGCCAUCACCGCCGCAGCCAACAUACCUAGCUAAUUUCACACCUCGUCCUAGUUCGUUUUCACCGGGAUCAGUGAACGUUCAUCCAAUACACCAUUUGUAUAACACAGCCGCAUUUGGAUGGAUGACGCAUCCACCUCCAUCACAGGCAUUUGUGCUGCCAAUACCUUUUAGCACACAGUUGCCGUCAAUGCUUCCUCCGGUGGCUGGUCACUCUCUUGGUAGCGGACGCCAAGUGCCACAUCGACACUCACCUUAUGAACAUCCCUGGCAAAUUGCUUAUCCUUACUAGCUACUAGGUGGCGUACCAUGCAUAUACUGCAUUGUUGGGACGUUAACUCUGGUUCAGAGAUGGUUUGGAGUUGUGGUGGCAUCGAAUAUAUACACCGAGGGGAGGAAUGGGGAAAUAGCAGUGGCAGGCGAAAUGGAUAAAUCCAGGGGCAUCAACCUGUGACAUGUGCUUAAAUCGUGGCAAACCAUAAAGCAGGGUAGUGUUACUACAUUUUUCACAUGCAACCACGAGUCUCCUGUGGCUGUCGGAGCAGCUCUUCCCUGUGCCAGACAUUGCUCCACCAAUGCUGACAGAUCAAGAUGAUAGAUAAACAAACAAUCAGUGGUUGGCAGCCAAGGCAAGGAGUAGUGGAGGACCUUCCAGCUGAAUCCUGAGACGAAAUACUGACGGUGAACUCGCCGUCAGUAUUGCUACACUGAUUCUGACAGAUCAAGAUGAUAGAUAAACAAAUAAUCAGUGGUUGGCAGCCAAGGCAAGGAGGAGUGGAGGACCUUCCAGCUGAAUUCUCAGGGGAAAUACUGACGUGAACUCGCAUGUCAUGGUGCUUUUCUGCUCCUGCGAAGGGUUUGUUCGUAUUCGCAGAAGGUACAGGAUUCAGACCCCCAUGUCAUGGUUCCCUUCGGUCGACGUUUGUCUGCAAAGAAGAACACAACCGUUGCUUCCGGUUCGCUGAGUGUUGCUCGAGUGCAAAAGCCUGCAAUGCUCCAAGUUGAGGACUCCACCAUGCAAAGCUACUUUUGGCGUUGCUUUCACCCUUGGUUUAUCCGUGCUGGUCUAAUUGCACUGCAGUUCUGCAUACAUCCAAUGUUUGUGUAGUCCAUCUGUGCCCUUUGUAUUGUUUGGUAGAAGACAACUACGAGGGUACUACCAAAGGAUCACGAGGGUAAUAUGUUUUUUU
This is a long non-coding RNA of Lolium perenne, 1642 nucleotides long. RefSeq lists it as uncharacterized. The record is from RefSeq and is a predicted model, not a curated record. Lineage: Eukaryota; Viridiplantae; Streptophyta; Magnoliopsida; Poales; Poaceae.